This 305-nucleotide long non-coding RNA is filed under the name Mytilus galloprovincialis (Mediterranean mussel). The record is from RNAcentral. Lineage: Eukaryota; Metazoa; Mollusca; Bivalvia; Mytilida; Mytilidae.
UUGUGGAUUUUCAGCUUAUAAGGAAGGAAGCUGGUUGAGUGGACUUGGUUAGAUUGUUCCUGCGUAGUCAAGGUUAAAGUCUAUUAAUCUGAAUCAGAGGGUGGUAAAGGUUUUUUUUCGCGCAAUGUGUUUUGCCGUUUUAUUUCACGUGCAGCAGUGAAAAAGGUUCGUUAUUCAUCGUGAUUCGUAAAAUCGCUAAAAAAAUCGACGUGCAAGAAUAUUUUAAUUGUUUGUUCAUCGUGAAAUGGUAGUUUUAUUUCACGUUCUUCCGUGUAGAUACCCCCCCUUUUUAAGCCCCUUUGAAG